Molecule: ribosomal RNA, 837 nt
Filed under: Triticum aestivum (bread wheat)
Lineage: Eukaryota; Viridiplantae; Streptophyta; Magnoliopsida; Poales; Poaceae
Description: partial small subunit ribosomal RNA
Source: RNAcentral
UCGACGUGUAAUAUCUGCGGCAACGGGGCGGAGGAUGAACAUCAUGCAGUGAUCACAUGCUCAAAGAGCAGGGCCCUCCGAGAGGCCAUGAGGAAGGAGUGGACACUAUCAUCAGAGAAAUAUUUCAGAAAUACAGGAACUGACUGGCUGCAGGUCCUGCUAGACAGAGAACCUGAGGAAAUGCGGUCAAAAAUCUUACUCCUGUUGUGGAGGUGCUGGCACCUGAGAGAGGACAUAUUACGACACAACGGCAAAGAAUCUAUCUUGGGCUCUGUACAAUUCCUGAAGAAAUACGUCGAGGAGUUAGUGGAUAAAACAUGCUGCAUACGGGGACAAAGCAUGCAGUGGACGGGACCAGUACAAGGCACGGUUAAGCUGAAUACCGACGCAACAUUCCAAGCCGAUUCAGGCGAAUCCGCUGCUGGAGCAGUCGCCAGGGACAGCAAAGGCCAUGUGGUUGUCUCACUCUGCAGAAGCCUGUCAGCUAGCCGAUGCGUCGAGGAGGCCGAAGCGAAAGCUGCACUUACUGGGCUGCUUACUCUGGCAAAGUAUUACAAAGGCCCUCUGAUACUGGAGAUGGACUGCCAUGCAAUCAUAAAAGAACUAGCAGUAUGGGGACAGCCUCGGUCCCAAUGCUAUGCUUUGAUCAAGGAUAUUAAACAAGCUCUAUCCGUGUUUGCGAGCUAUAGUUUUAACCAUGUGGGAAGAUCAUGCAAUGAGCUAGCCCACGGGCUUGCUGCGGCCACAAGAACUGCAGGCGAUCAGGAGAUCUUUGCCAACGUACCGGAAGGACUCGGACCACUGAUGGUGUCUGAAUAUGUACCUCCUGUAGAGUAG